CCACGGGCGGCACCAGUAAGGAAUAUUGCGCAAUGGAGGCAACUCUGACGCAGCCAUGCCGCGUGCAGGAAGAAGGCCUUAUGGGUCGUAAACUGCUUUUAUUUAGGAAUAAACCCCCGAACGUGUUCGGGGCUGAAGGUACUAAACGAAUAAGCACCGGCUAACUCCGUGCCAGCAGCCGCGGUAAUACGGAGGGUGCAAGCGUUAUCCGGAUUUAUUGGGUUUAAAGGGUGCGCAGGCGGGCUAUUAAGUCAGUGGUGAAAUCCCGGGGCUCAACUCCGGAACUGCCAUUGAUACUGAUAGUCUUGAGUUUGGUUGAAGUGGGCGGAAUGUAGCAUGUAGCGGUGAAAUGCAUAGAUAUGCUACAGAACACCAAUCGCGAAGGCAGCUCACUAAGCCAAAACUGACGCUCAUGCACGAAAGCGUGGGGAUCAAACAGGAUUAGAUACCCUCGUAGUC
This 459-nucleotide ribosomal RNA is filed under the name uncultured bacterium. Its description in RNAcentral is "partial 16S ribosomal RNA". It matches the Rfam family "Bacterial small subunit ribosomal RNA", at positions 339 to 795 of the family's 1533-position model. The record is from RNAcentral.